UGAAGAAUUUGUCCAACGGUGGGGGAUAGCCGGCCCAACGGCCGGGUAAUACCGCGUACGCCCUUCGAGCGGCAUCGCUUGAUGGGGAAAGUCGCAAGACGCCGAUGGAGAACUUCGCGGCCUAUCAACUAGUUGGUGAGGUCAUGGCUCACCAAGGCGACGACGGGUAGCUGGUCCGAGAGGAUGACCAGCCACAUUGGGACUGAGACACGGCCCAGACUCCUACGGGAGCAG
This 234-nucleotide ribosomal RNA is filed under the name uncultured bacterium. Its description in RNAcentral is "partial 16S ribosomal RNA". It matches the Rfam family "Bacterial small subunit ribosomal RNA", at positions 118 to 347 of the family's 1533-position model. The record is from RNAcentral.